AGUACUGGAGAGAGAGGCAGGGUCUGAUCCUCAGCUUCCAUAGCAGCUGUUGAUCAAUUGUUGCCUCUCUCUUUCUCUCCA
Molecule: non-coding RNA, 81 nt
Organism: Myotis lucifugus (little brown bat)
Lineage: Eukaryota; Metazoa; Chordata; Mammalia; Chiroptera; Vespertilionidae
Source: Rfam